RNAcentral lists this ribosomal RNA (411 nucleotides) under uncultured prokaryote. Its description in RNAcentral is "partial 16S ribosomal RNA". The record is from RNAcentral.
CCCUAUGGGGCGCACCCGGCACGGGGAACACCAGUUUUGUGAAAACGCUCGCCAAACAUUAUGAAAAAGAUCUUCUUUCAGUCAACUUCCCUAAAGAUCACGAUUACAAUGACCGAAUCAGGGCAAUUUAUGCCACAAUAAGCAUGGUUGAUCCCAAACGUUCGAUAAUUCUUGUGGAUGAGGCUGACGAUGUCCUGAAUUCGCAGGAAUCUCAAUUCUUCAAGAGUCACAGCAACAAGAGUUGGAUCAACAAUCUUUUAGAGGACCAUAAUCAAAAGAUCAUUUGGAUAACCAAUCGGGUUAGUGAGAUCGAUCCUUCCACAAUGCGGCGUUUUACCUUUUCGGUCGAAUUCAAAAAGUUCAAUCCGGAAAAUCGGAUCAAGCUCAUUACUUGUGAAUUGGCGGGAGGGC